GUAAUGUGACCUUCCCCGGCUCUUUCUCCUCCUGGACCUCUGACUAUGAGUGUUCUUUAAUCCUCCAUCAGUUUCUUUCCAAAUUGAAGCCCUCCAGAACUUGCUCUUUCUAGUGUCCUUAGGCCUGGAAAAAGCCUCAUCUCCUUAAGUUCCAUAUGGCCCCAAAUAAGCCCAUUAAUGCCUCUCCCCACAUACACACACCCUAGGAACGUAUUUCCUCUUCCAAACAACAGUAUUUUACUUCCAGCAGUGGCUCCACACAAUUUGACACUUCCCCUUUCUCUAAUUGCUUACUUUGUGUGUCUGUUUUGCCUCCUGACUAGACUGCAAUAUCUUUGAGGGAGGAGGUUCCGUGGAGCAGGAGGCCCCCGGAGAAUCCCUAAUAAGUGCCAAAUGCAAAAAGGUUGAAGUCACCAGUUGAGAAAAUCCACAUAAAAUACACCUGAGCUUUUGGCCUGUAUAAAAUCAGCAUGAUGUUUUCUCCUGGGAGAGGUUCACAGCAUAUAAUUU
Molecule: long non-coding RNA, 510 nt
Filed under: Pan troglodytes (chimpanzee)
Lineage: Eukaryota; Metazoa; Chordata; Mammalia; Primates; Hominidae
Description: long non-coding RNA NONPTRT004799
Source: RNAcentral